RNAcentral lists this ribosomal RNA (253 nucleotides) under uncultured bacterium. Its description in RNAcentral is "partial 16S ribosomal RNA". It matches the Rfam family "Bacterial small subunit ribosomal RNA", at positions 524 to 776 of the family's 1533-position model. The record is from RNAcentral.
GACAGAGGAUGCAAGCGUUAUCCGGAAUUAUUGGGCGUAAAGGGCGCGUAGGCGGCUUUUCAAGUGACGGGUGAAAUCCCUCGGCUUAACCGAGGAACUGCCUGUCAGACUGGAAGGCUUGAGACCGGGAGAGGUGAGUGGAAUUCCCAGUGUAGCGGUGAAAUGCGUAGAUAUUGGGAGGAACACCAGUGGCGAAGGCGGCUCACUGGACCGGAACUGACGCUGAGGCGCGAAAGCGUGGGGAGCAAACAGG